RNAcentral lists this unclassified non-coding RNA (459 nucleotides) under Aspergillus intermedius. Its description in RNAcentral is "sequence contains ITS1, 5.8S rRNA gene and ITS2". The stretch from base 146 to 299 matches the Rfam family "5.8S ribosomal RNA". RNAcentral also lists the same sequence under 5 other names. Lineage: Eukaryota; Fungi; Ascomycota; Eurotiomycetes; Eurotiales; Aspergillaceae. The record is from RNAcentral.
UACCGAGUGCGGGCCCUCUGGGUCCAACCUCCCAUCCGUGUCUAUCUGUACCCUGUUGCUUCGGCGUGGCCACGGCCCGCCGGAGACUAACAUUUGAACGCUGUCUGAAGUUUGCAGUCUGAGUUUUUAGUUAAACAAUCGUUAAAACUUUCAACAACGGAUCUCUUGGUUCCGGCAUCGAUGAAGAACGCAGCGAAAUGCGAUAAUUAAUGUGAAUUGCAGAAUUCAGUGAAUCAUCGAGUCUUUGAACGCACAUUGCGCCCCCUGGUAUUCCGGGGGGCAUGCCUGUCCGAGCGUCAUUGCUGCCCUCAAGCACGGCUUGUGUGUUGGGCUUCCGUCCCUGGCAACGGGGACGGGCCCAAAAGGCAGUGGCGGCACCAUGUCUGGUCCUCGAGCGUAUGGGGCUUUGUCACCCGCUCCCGUAGGUCCAGCUGGCAGCUAGCCUCGCAACCAAUCUUU